RNAcentral lists this ribosomal RNA (482 nucleotides) under uncultured bacterium. RNAcentral describes it as "partial 16S ribosomal RNA". It matches the Rfam family "Bacterial small subunit ribosomal RNA", at positions 28 to 523 of the family's 1533-position model. The record is from RNAcentral.
GAUGAACGCUGGCGGCGUGCUUAACACAUGCAAGUCGAACGGUGAAGCCAAGCUUGCUAGGUGGAUCAGUGGCGAACGGGUGAGUAACACGUGAGCAACCUGCCCUGGACUCUGGGAUAAGCGCUGGAAACGGCGUCUAAUACUGGAUAUGAGCUUCUACCGCAUGGUGGGGGUUGGAAAGAUUUUUUAGUCUGGGAUGGGCUCGCGGCCUAUCAGCUUGUUGGUGAGGUAAUGGCUCACCAAGGCGUCGACGGGUAGCCGGCCUGAGAGGGGGACCGGCCACACUGGGACUGAGACACGGCCCAGACUCCUACGGGAGGCAGCAGUGGGGAAUAUUGCACAAUGGGCGAAAGCCUGAUGCAGCAACGCCGCGUGAGGGAUGACGGCCUUCGGGUUGUAAACCUCUUUUAGCAGGGAAGAAGCGUAAGUGACGGUACCUGCAGAAAAAGCGCCGGCUAACUACGUGCCAGCAGCCGCAGUAA